GAGAGUUUGAUCUGGCUCAGAACGAACGCUGGCGGCAGGCUUAACACAUGCAAGUCGAACGCCCCGCAAGGGGAGUGGCAGACGGGUGAGUAACGCGUGGGAACAUACCCUUUUCUGCGGAAUAGCUCUGGGAAACUGGAAUUAAUACCGCAUACGCCCUACGGGGGAAAGAUUUAUCGGGGAAGGAUUGGCCCGCGUUGGAUUAGCUAGUUGGUGGGGUAAAGGCCUACCAAGGCGACGAUCCAUAGCUGGCUGAGAGGA
This 261-nucleotide ribosomal RNA is filed under the name uncultured Rhizobiaceae bacterium. RNAcentral describes it as "partial 16S ribosomal RNA". It matches the Rfam family "Bacterial small subunit ribosomal RNA", at positions 7 to 300 of the family's 1533-position model. Lineage: Bacteria; Pseudomonadati; Pseudomonadota; Alphaproteobacteria; Hyphomicrobiales; Rhizobiaceae. The record is from RNAcentral.